Molecule: ribosomal RNA, 730 nt
Filed under: uncultured bacterium
Lineage: Bacteria
Description: bacterial SSU rRNA
Rfam family: Bacterial small subunit ribosomal RNA
Source: RNAcentral
CAUGCAAGGCGAGGGCGCAGCAAUGUGACCGCCGUACGGGUGCGUAACGCGUAUGCAACCUACCCAUCACAGGGGGACAGCCCAUGGAAACGUGGAUUAAUACCGCAUAAAGCAGGGGCACUGCCUGGUGAUACUGCUAAACAUUUAUGGGUGAUGGAUGGGCAUGCGUCUGAUUAGCUAGUUGGUCGGGUAACGGCCUACCAAGGCGAUGAUCAGUAGGGGAGCUGAGAGGUUUUCCCCCCACACGGGCACUGAGACACGGGCCCGACUCCUACGGGAGGCAGCAGUAGGGAAUAUUGGACAAUGGGGGCAACCCUGAUCCAGCCAUGCCGCGUGAGUGAAGAAGGCCUUCGGGUUGUAAAGCUCUUUCAUUCGGGAAGAAAACGCGCGCUCUAACAUAGCGUGUGGAUGACGGUACCGACAGAAGAAGCACCGGCUAACUACGUGCCAGCAGCCGCGGUAAUACGUAGGGUGCGAGCGUUAAUCGGAAUUACUGGGCGUAAAGCGUGCGCAGGCGGUUUGCCAAGACAGGCGUGAAAUCCCCGGGCUCAACCUGGGAACUGCGCUAGUGACUGGCAGGCUAGAGUACGGCAGAGGGGGGUGGAAUUCCUGGUGUAGCAGUGAAAUGCGUAGAGAUCAGGAGGAACACCGAUGGCGAAGGCAGCCCCCUGGGCCUGUACUGACGCUCAUGCACGAAAGCGUGGGGAGCAAACAGGAUUAGAUACCCUGG